AGACCUACGGGACGCAGCAGUGGGGAAUAUUGCACAAUGGGGGGAACCCUGAUGCAGCGACGCCGCGUGGGUGAAGAAGUCAUUCGUGACGUAAAGCCCUAUCAGCAGGGAAGAAAAUGACGGUACCUGACUAAGAAGCCCCGGCUAAAUACGUGCCAGCAGCCGCGGUAAUACGUAUGGUGCAAGCGUUAUCCGGAUUUACUGGGUGUAAAGGGAGCGUAGGCGGCGCGUUAAGUCUGAUGUGAAAACCCGAGGCUCAACCACGGGAGUGCAUUGGAAACUGGCGGGCUGGAGGGCCGGGGAGG
This 305-nucleotide ribosomal RNA is filed under the name uncultured bacterium. RNAcentral's name for it is "bacterial SSU rRNA". It matches the Rfam family "Bacterial small subunit ribosomal RNA", at positions 335 to 657 of the family's 1533-position model. The record is from RNAcentral.